CUUCACUUGUCGGAGUGCCAUAAGGCUGAGACCGUUUAUUCGGGAUCCGUUGAACCUGAUCAGGUUAAUACCUGCGAAGGGAACAAGAGAAGAUUUUAG
Vibrio sp. is the source of this 99-nucleotide non-coding RNA. Lineage: Bacteria; Pseudomonadati; Pseudomonadota; Gammaproteobacteria; Vibrionales; Vibrionaceae. The record is from Rfam.